GGCACCUCCCAUCUCAAGCCACUUCUUACAGGUUCCAGGAGGCAUUUCAGUUUAUCCUAAAGAGAGGGGCCCUUUUUUUAGGGUUUCCUAGCCAAGCCCUCCCUGGAUCUAUCUCCUUCAUAGAUGGUGCCAUACAAGCCUUUGACAGCAUGUGGCCCUCAACUCUACAGGACCAGCUGGACCAUGAGGAUGCUGAGCAGAGAUUCCUACAGGUGUCCUCUGCAGAUGGGCCCCCGGAGGGGCACUCCUUGCUGUCCAUACUCACUGCCUUGGUUCUUCAGGCCCUGCUCUAUUUAGGAAGGCAGAUCUUGGACAACACAGCUGACUGCUACACCACCCGGAAUAUGGGUCCACAUCUCUGGCCUACUGCUCACUGAAACUAGCUUGCCCUCAGAUGUGCCGCCUUUUGCAGGCCUAGACACCUGUGUGCCUGUCCCCUAGAUUGAGAAUUGGAGGCUGGGGUCUGACUGUAAAGCCUCUGCUUUCCCUAGCAGUGGGUGUCUUCAUUGUAUUCAUCACACCCCUUGAGAUGGUCCCUUUGUAGAGGCCUCAUUGGGCCUCUAAAUCUCUAGAGCAGGUCAGAGACUACCUGAAUUCCUAGAGCUAGGAAACGGAAUUCACUUCUCAGGGGACAGACCCACAGGCUAUGGCCUUUUCCCCAGUGCUUUCUCCAGCACUAGGAGAGGCAUGCUCAAUAAACCCAUGUGCAUGGCAGCCAA
This is a long non-coding RNA of Nannospalax galili (Upper Galilee mountains blind mole rat), 719 nucleotides long. RefSeq lists it as uncharacterized. Lineage: Eukaryota; Metazoa; Chordata; Mammalia; Rodentia; Spalacidae. The record is from RefSeq and is a predicted model, not a curated record. The transcript has 2 exons.